RNAcentral lists this long non-coding RNA (1100 nucleotides) under Canis lupus familiaris (dog). RNAcentral's name for it is "lncRNA (ENSCAFG00040002497.1)". Lineage: Eukaryota; Metazoa; Chordata; Mammalia; Carnivora; Canidae. The record is from RNAcentral.
UGAGGUAUUAUUUAUAUCUGGUGUCAGGUGGGUGCCAGAUUCAUUCUGUUCAGUGUGGAAACCCAGCUGUGCCGGCGCCACCUGUUGAAGAGACUACUGUCCUCGGUGAGCAGGCUCGGUUCCGGAUAAGCAGCCGUGGAGGCAAGCGUAGGUUAUACCUGGACCGGCUGCCGCUCCCUCCGUCCCCUGGACUCACUAGUCUUGUGCAAGGCUGCUCUGGUGUGCUCACGGGAGCUUUGGUAUAGAUUUUGGAAUCAAGAGUCCUCUAACUUUGUUAUUUUCCAAGGUCGUUUUGGCCUUUCAGGGUCUACUGCAAUACCCCACGGGUGUGAGGCUCACCCUCUUCGUUGCCGCAAAGAAGACCGUUGGGAUUUCGGGGUGGGUUGCGCGGACUCUGCAGGUCACGUCGAGUACUAUUGACGUAAUAACAACAUCACGCCUUCCUUCUUACAAACGGGAUGCCUUUCUCCUUGUUUAGAUUUACUUCAUUUCAGCGGUGCUGGUGGUUUUCAGCCUACAGAUGGUUUGCUGCCUUGGUUAGGCUUACUGCUAAGCAUUUUAUUCUUUUAGAUGCUACUGCAAACGCAGGCACACAGUGAGAGAGAGAGGCAGAGACAUAGGCAGAGGGAGAAGCAGGCUCCAUGCACCGGGAGCCCGACGUGGGACUCAAUCCCGGGUCUCCAGGAUCGCACCCUGGGCCAAAGGCAGGCGCCAAACCGCUGCGCCACCCAGGGAUCUCUUGGGAUAUUUUUGAAUAAACAUUCAGUGUUCUUACUAGUAAUUUGUUCAGACUCUACUUUUCUUGAUUCAGUUUUAGUAGGUUGUAUGUUUCUAGAAUUCCAAUUACUUGACAUAUAACUGUUCUUGACAGUUACAUGAUUUCCAAUUACUUGACAUAUAACUGUUCUUGGUAGUCUCUUUUCAUCCUUCGUAUUUCUGUAGUGUCAGUUGUUAUGUCUCCUCUUUCAUUUGUAAUUUUGUUGAUUUGGUUCUUUUUUAAUGAUUAGUCCAGCUAAAUGUUUGCCAAUUUUGUUUAUCUUUUCAAAGAACCAACUCAUAGUUUUGUUCAUCUUUCCUAUUGUUUCCUGUUCUCUACUUUA